CGGGUGCACUGAUCCGGCCGGGCCUUUCCCUCUGUGGAACCCCAUGGCCUUCACUGGCUGUGCGGGGGAAACAGGACUUUUACUGUGAAAAAAUUAGAGUGCUCCAGGCAGGCCUAUGCUCGAAUACAUUAGCAUGGAAUAAUAGAAUAGGACGCGUGGUUCUAUUUUGUUGGUUUCUAGGACCGCCGUAAUGAUUAAUAGGGACAGUCGGGGGCAUCAGUAUUCAAUUGUCAGAGGUGAAAUUCUUGGAUCUAUUGAAGACUAACUACUGCGAAAGCAUUUGCCAAGGAUGUUUUCAUUGAUAAGGAACGAAAGUUAGGGGAUCGAAGACGAUCAGAUACCGUCGUAGUCUUAACUAUAAACUAUGCCGACUAGGGAUCGGACGAUGUUAUUUCUUGACGCGUUCGGCACCUUUCGAGAAAUCAAAGUGCUUGGGCUCCAGGGGGAGUAUGGUCGCAAGGCUGAAACUUAAAGAAAUUGACGGAAGGGCACCACCAGGAGUGGAACCUGCGGCUUAAUUUGACUCAACACGGGGAAACUCACCAGGUCCAGACACAGUGAGGAUUGACAGAUUGAGAGCUCUUUCUUGAUUCUGUGGGUGGUGGUGCAUGGCCGUUCUUAGUUGGUGGAGUGAUUUGUCUGCUUAAUUGCGAUAACGAACGAGACCUUAACCUGCUAAAUAGCCCGUACUGCUCUGGCAGUUCGCCGGCUUCUUAGAGGGACUAUCGG
This 729-nucleotide ribosomal RNA is filed under the name uncultured eukaryote. RNAcentral's name for it is "SSU rRNA". It matches the Rfam family "Eukaryotic small subunit ribosomal RNA", at positions 670 to 1426 of the family's 1831-position model. The record is from RNAcentral.